Molecule: ribosomal RNA, 375 nt
Filed under: uncultured bacterium
Lineage: Bacteria
Description: bacterial SSU rRNA
Rfam family: Bacterial small subunit ribosomal RNA
Source: RNAcentral
UAAUACGAACUGUGCGAACGUUAUUCGGAAUCACUGGGCUUAAAGGGUGCGUAGGCGGUUAUCUAAGUCACGUGUGAAAUCUUCCGGCUCAACCGGAAAACUGCGCGUGAUACUGGAUGACUUGAGUGAGGUAGGGGUGUGUGGAACUUCCGGUGGAGCGGUGAAAUGUGUAGAGAUCGGAAGGAACGCCAGCAGCGAAAGCGGCACACUGGGCCUUUUCUGACGCUGAGGCACGAAAGCUAGGGGAGUGAACGGGAUUAGAUACCCCGGUAAUCCUAGCCGUAAACACUGAACACUGGAGGAAGGGGGUUUCGGCCUUCUUUCUCGUAGCGAAAGCGUUAAGUGUUCCGCCUGGGGAGUAUGGUCGCAAGGCUG